Molecule: long non-coding RNA, 2018 nt
Organism: Maniola jurtina (meadow brown)
Lineage: Eukaryota; Metazoa; Arthropoda; Insecta; Lepidoptera; Nymphalidae
Exons: 2
Source: RefSeq, a predicted model, not a curated record
UACAUAAUAGUACCUUACUUAAACAGUACCUACCUAUUGUUUAUAAUAAAAAAGUUAUAAAUAUUCAAUUUGUAUUUAAAAAAGCAUUUAUUAAUAGCAAUAUAAAGGUGAUCACCGGAGACCCGCAAGAGACGCAUUUUAAAAAAUACUUACCUACUUAAAAUGUAUAUAUUUACUAAACAUCUUUAUUGUUAACAAAAUAACAAAGAGAAGAUGUAUGUUUGCUUAUAGUAGAGCUUGUCUAUUUUGAAAUGACGCGCCCCACCACCGCAAUUUACACAUCUAAGUGAACAAAAUUAUGUAGCAGGGUGCGUCAUUUCAAAAUAGACAAGCUCUAUGAGAUUUUACAACUUACAAAGGAUAAUAGAAUUGGACAGUCGAAACAAAAUAAAUGUCAAACUAAAAUGGACCUAAGAUUGAUUUAAAGUCAAGACUUCAAUUCCAAAGAUUUUAAUUUUUCCGCUUGGAGCGCUGGCUAUUUGGAAAAGGCUAUUAAGACCCAUUUUAUUAUAAUAGGUACCUACUUAAUAAAAUGUUUCGAUCAUCGAAUUCUAAUUCGAAUUCAUGUUGGUGACAUUUAAAACUUAUACUAAGGCCUCUUAUCACAUAUUCAGCAUCAAGAAAAUGCUGCUAAUCUUAAUGAGAAUAUUUUCGAUUCGAUGCGAUCGAUGGAGCUGAAUCUUUCACUCGCAUUUUCAGAAAUACUAAAAAAUGCGUCUCUUAUCGCUCUGGUAUGCGAUCACCUUAAGGUUUAAAGGAUUUUUCAACUGUUUUUUGGCUUACCUAUUACAGAAUUGCUGAAAUCUUGGCAAAAAAUAAUUUUAAUUAUACUUUAAUGUUAAAUUAAAUAGAGGCCUUAGCAAUGCAGCUAAGUUAAUAUUUAUUGUAAGUAAAGAAAAUAUUAAAACUACUUGUCCGAAACCGAUUUUCAAGUGACCGAUAUUUAUUGUGCUUUCUUUUUGUAAAGUAAAAUCGGUCGGAAUGACGAAUUAAAAACGCAAAUCGGUCGCAUGCUAUUUUUGAUGUGGAAUUACUGUCACAUUUCUAUUAUCUUGCGCCGCUGUUAAAAUAAAUACUACAUUAUAGUAUAAAUAAAACCAUAAUAAUUAUUAUAAGUAAUAAUAUUAUUCUUUAAAGCUUGUAGAAUAUACUUAUUGUAUGGUCAACAGCAACAGUAGGUAUGUACCCUAAGCAUACAACCUAACCAUUUUGACGGUUCUAAUUAAAUAUUAUUUGAUAGACUUCAAUGGCGAGGUUGUAUGUGAGUACAGUCAGCAUAAAAUAUAUUUUAUCUAUGCUCACAAAUUAUGUUAUUAGUUACCAUUAUAUUGUAAUUUGGAUUUUAAGAUAGUAUUAUGGGUUUUGAUAAAGUGGUGUAUGAAACUGCACAUAACUAAUUAUUUAAAACAUGAGUGCGAGUUUAAAAACCGAGCCGUAGGUGAGGUAUUUAAUAGUAUCACACGAGUUUUAAUGCCCUCAUUAAUCGUUACGAGGAUUUUCAAUAAACUUUUAUUUAACAGUUUUAUAAACUAGGUACAUACCUACUAUUAUUUGCGUUUAUAAAACAGUAAUAACGCCCAAUGAGAAGAUCGUAGUUUUAGCACAUGAGUAGGUUUUAGUACCACGUCAUAGUUGCCGUUAUAUUGCAAAAGAUGGUGUAAUACAAAGCCAGGGCACACGUGUGAAAGAAUAUUAUAGUUGUACAUUGAAAGAGUCCCUAUUUCUUAACGUGAAUAUCCACAAGAAAAAUAUUUUGAUGCUGACUGUACAAUGUAGGUAGGUACACAUUGUUUUUGACUGUAAUAGUUUUAUGGAAAGAAUGUUAGACCAAAAAAGAAUGGCCUAGAUAGUAACUGAAAUGGUGCUAUAGUCCUUUAGAUUUUGAUCUCAUAUCAAUUUGAGAGUGUGUGUGUUGCUUAUGUGUUGAUUCCCAACUAUCGAAUCGGUUGUGUUAAAUGAUGUUAAUGAAAAUUUUAUUCUUAGUACUUAUAGAAAAUAAAUAUGAGUUUAAUUCAGAA